Molecule: ribosomal RNA, 293 nt
Filed under: uncultured eukaryote
Lineage: Eukaryota
Description: partial 18S ribosomal RNA
Rfam family: Eukaryotic small subunit ribosomal RNA
Source: RNAcentral
GGUUGAUCCUGCCAGUAGUCAUAUGCUUGUCUCAAAGAUUAAGCCAUGCAUGUCUAAGUAUAAACUAAUUUAUACGGUGAGACUGCGGAUGGCUCAUUAAAUCAGUUAUAGUUUAUUUGAUGGUCCCUUUUUUACUACUUGGAUAACCGUGGUAAUUCUAGAGCUAAUACAUGCGCAAGGUCCCGAACCGGGCGGCGUAAAAAACCGCCCAGAGAGGGAUGUAUUUAUUAGGUAAAAAACCAGCGCGGGGCAUACCAAACUGCGUUGGUGUGGCCCCGGAACUCUCGGGGGGG